UCCAGUGUGGGUGACCGACAAUGAAUACU
This 29-nucleotide non-coding RNA is filed under the name Rattus norvegicus (Norway rat). The record is from RNAcentral. Lineage: Eukaryota; Metazoa; Chordata; Mammalia; Rodentia; Muridae.